This 544-nucleotide small RNA is filed under the name Pongo abelii (Sumatran orangutan). Its description in RNAcentral is "retained intron". The record is from RNAcentral. Lineage: Eukaryota; Metazoa; Chordata; Mammalia; Primates; Hominidae.
UUCAUUUUGAGUUUAAAAUUUUGUUUUAUGAAAUGGAAGGUGAUAAUACUCUUUGUGGGCUUAUAAAUUGGGAAGAGUUUUGGAUUACCCCUGAAACGUCUCUGGAAGCUUCUGUUAACCUCUUUUUUUUUUUUUUUUUUAAAGUCAGACAAUGGUAUAUAACUUUUAACUCUCGAUAGGAACUAAUUCUGAAGCAUCAAAUGCUUCUGAAACAGAAUCUGACCACAGAGACGAACUCAGUGAUUGGUCAUUAGCUCCAACAGAGGAAGAGAGAGAGAGCUUCCUGCGCAGAGGAGACGGACGGCGGCGUGGAGGGGGAGGAAGAGGACAAGGAGGAAGAGGACGUGGAGGAGGCUUCAAAGGAAACGACGAUCACUCCCGAACAGAUAAUCGUCCACGUAAUCCAAGAGAGGCUAAAGGAAGAACAACAGAUGGAUCCCUUCAGGUAAAACCUGUCUGCCUCUUUUCAUCUUAAUUGUUUGAAUAUGGUAGUUUGAGAUUUAUGAGUUUAUUUUACUUUAUUAAAAACAUGUUCAAAGAUUAC